GACGAACGCUGGCGGCGUGCUUAACACAUGCCAGUCGAACGGUGAUGCUCCAGCUUGCUGGAGUGGAUCAGUGGCGAACGGGUGAGUAACACGUGAGCAACCUGCCCCAGACUCAGGAAUAAGCGCUGGAAACGGCGUCUAAUACUGGAUACGAAACUGGCCCGCAUGGGCAUGGUUUGGAAAGUUUUUCGGUUUGGGAUGGGCUCGCGGCCUAUCAGCUUGUUGGUGAGGUAAUGGCUCACCAAGGCGACGACGGGUAGCCGGCCUGAGAGGGCGACCGGCCACACUGGGACUGAGACACGGCCCAGACUCCUACGGGAGGCAGCAGUGGGGAAUAUUGCACAAUGGGCGAAAGCCUGAUGCAGCGACGCCGCGUGAGGGAUGACGGCCUUCGGGUUGUAAACCUCUUUCAGCAGGGAAGAAGCGAAAGUGACGGUACCUGCAGAAGAAGCACCGGCUAACUACGUG
This 468-nucleotide ribosomal RNA is filed under the name uncultured bacterium. Its description in RNAcentral is "partial 16S ribosomal RNA". It matches the Rfam family "Bacterial small subunit ribosomal RNA", at positions 28 to 507 of the family's 1533-position model. The record is from RNAcentral.